UAAUAGCUCACUGGUCGAGUCGGCCUGCGCGGAAGAUGUAACGGGGCUAAACCAUGCACCGAAGCUGCGGCAGCGACACUAUGUGUUGUUGGGUAGGGGAGCGUUCUGUAAGCCUGCGAAGGUGUGCUGUGAGGCAUGCUGGAGGUAUCAGAAGUGCGAAUGCUGACAUAAGUAACGAUAAAGCGGGUGAAAAGCCCGCUCGCCGGAAGACCAAGGGUUCCUGUCCAACGUUAAUCGGGGCAGGGUGAGUCGACCCCUAAGGCGAGGCCGAAAGGCGUAGUCGAUGGGAAACAGGUUAAUAUUCCUGUACUUGGUGUUACUGCGAAGGGGGGACGGAGAAGGCUAUGUUAGCCGGGCGACGGUUGUCCCGGUUUAAGCAUGUAGGCUG
This 388-nucleotide ribosomal RNA is filed under the name Klebsiella pneumoniae. RNAcentral's name for it is "partial 23S ribosomal RNA". It matches the Rfam family "Bacterial large subunit ribosomal RNA", at positions 1135 to 1527 of the family's 2925-position model. The record is from RNAcentral. Lineage: Bacteria; Pseudomonadati; Pseudomonadota; Gammaproteobacteria; Enterobacterales; Enterobacteriaceae.